UUAAACGUUACUUCAUUUGGGGUCGAUUCCGUAUCUCCGAGGGAGAGCCUGGAAUGUCGACCUUUGGAAUGAGUUCGUAAACAGGAUGUUUGGAUUUCUAUCGCACUUUCGAGAAAGUGGAAGGAAAAAGGUUUAAGAUUGGACACCGUUUCCGGCAUCGAAAAGUUUGGAAUAAAUUCCGCGGGACUCGCACGGGACUUUUCGGUCGGGUCGUGAGACCGUUCCUAGGGCCCCGAGCUUUUAGUUUUGAGGUGUGGUAAUGAUCCUUCCGCAGGUUCACCUACGGAAA
This 289-nucleotide unclassified non-coding RNA is filed under the name uncultured fungus. RNAcentral describes it as "sequence contains ITS1". Lineage: Eukaryota; Fungi. The record is from RNAcentral.